GCCAAUGUAGCUCAGCGGUAGAGCACAGGACUCAUAACCCUGUGGUCGGCGGUUCGACUCCACCCAUUGGCACCA
RNAcentral lists this transfer RNA (75 nucleotides) under bacterium. Its description in RNAcentral is "tRNA-Met". It matches the Rfam family "tRNA". Rfam says of the family: Transfer RNA (tRNA) molecules are approximately 80 nucleotides in length. The record is from RNAcentral. RNAcentral also lists the same sequence under 3 other names.